Molecule: long non-coding RNA, 1061 nt
Filed under: Sinocyclocheilus anshuiensis
Lineage: Eukaryota; Metazoa; Chordata; Actinopteri; Cypriniformes; Cyprinidae
Description: lncRNA (ENSSANG00000049666.1)
Source: RNAcentral
UCCCCAGGAUCCUGAAAGCGCAUGCUAAUGUUUCUGCUCAGGAAAGGGGCUGUGAUGAGUGCCUAAACACUGAAGAACCUGGAGGGAGAGGUCACAGCAGGUUACGGCGACCCUCUCGGGUUCACAGCUCUGGGACAGAAGAGGGGGUGGCAAUGAAUGGAGCCAGUUCUCAAAGUCCACAUCACAACACACCUGCUCGUCACAGCAUAGGUGGAGUUCCCAGCAGUAAUCAGGAGUACCCAGGGGUUUCUGGAGCUUCGAGCCGCUCUACCACUCCCAUCCAUCUCCCUGCUGAAUUCUUCCACCCAGCUGCUGCGGCCCUCCCGGCACCCCCGAGAGGCCGACCGGGACACAAACCAAGAGGGCUCCGGCUAACAUCCCCAGCCUCAUGGACAUCUCUACGCUCUCCUGGAGCAAACACCAGGCUGCUCACCACACAGUAUCCAUCUCACAGUGACUCCUCCCUGGCUACGGGCAGCUCAGAGAGCAGCCUACCAACCACCAUGGAAGAAGGGCUCAGUUUCACCACCCAGCCACUGCUGGACACACUCCUUGACGAUCGCUCCAGCCUCUCCACAAAGACCCUGAGACCCAGCCCUCCAGCCACCCAGAACGUCCAAACUAUAAGGGGGCACCAGCGCAGCAAGAGCAGUUGUGAAAGGGACAUUAAUGCAGGAAGAACUCGGCAAGACUCCGAUGAGGAUGUAGGGAUGGUACGGUGCGGUUCUAACCAGACGUGCGACAGCCAGCAGCUCUCAGAGACACCGAGCAGCCUGUCGCUCACAUCGCUGCUUCUGCCGAGCUCUCUAGCGCCCCUGUUUGUGAAAAAGUGCAACAGCACAGGUAGCUUAGACCAGGGGACUUUCACAACCCAAGAAAAUGUGUUCAUAAAAGAGCCACAGGGUAAAAUCACCAGCUCCUGGAAAGAAAGGAAAGAAGGAAGAAGAGAGAGUCAGUCGGAGGCAGCACAAGGAAAAGACAGGGAAAGUACAAGCCAAAUAACAAUUGUGGGCUCCAGAAGAAAUAGAUGAAACUUUACCUAGUGUUAGUUAUUGCUAAGG